UUGUGGACAUCACCCCUAAUACAGAGGCAGAUCCGGCUUCUUCCCACCUGAAUGUGGUGGACAUCAUCCCUAAUACAGAGGCCGAGCCCAUCUCUUCCCUCUUGGAGGUUGUGGACGUCACACCUGAAGAAAGGACUCUCACGAUGGCCGACUUCGCCACUCUGCCAGCUGACAUCCAAGAGGAGGAUGUUGCUGUGGUCAUCCCGGAUGUCACCCCACACGUCACCAAGGACGUGACACUGGAUGUUCCAUGCAGAGCUAGGAAAAGGGCAGUUCGGCGAUUAUUUUGCAGGCUUUGGAGGGCAGUGUGCAGCUGCGCCUACCACAAGGAAGAGGAGGAACAAUAUUAAUUAUUCAUCAGACCUUCAGAAAUGGGAUUGAACCAUAGACCAUUAAAUUAUUUGCAUUAUGAUUGGAUUCAAUUCUGCUUUUCUUCUGUUUACUACUUCAUUUCAGAAAAUGUCUAUAAACUUUGACUUUGCAAGUGUGGAGUAGGUUGUGUAAAUAAGUGGGAUACAUCCCAAUUUUAAUGCCUUUAAUAAUUUACUUUGUACAUUUA
This is a long non-coding RNA of Salvelinus sp. IW2-2015, 559 nucleotides long. RefSeq lists it as uncharacterized. The record is from RefSeq and is a predicted model, not a curated record. NCBI's taxonomy places the organism in Eukaryota, Metazoa, Chordata, Actinopteri, Salmoniformes, Salmonidae.